RNAcentral lists this ribosomal RNA (254 nucleotides) under uncultured bacterium. Its description in RNAcentral is "partial 16S ribosomal RNA". It matches the Rfam family "Bacterial small subunit ribosomal RNA", at positions 524 to 776 of the family's 1533-position model. The record is from RNAcentral.
CACGUAGGGACCAAGCGUUGUCCGGAUUUAUUGGGCGUAAAGCGCUCGUAGGCGGUUCGGUAAGUCGGGUGUGAAACCUCUGGGCUCAACCCAGAGACGCCACCCGAUACUGCCGUGACUUGAGUUCGGUAGGGGAGCGGGGAAUUCCUGGUGUAGCGGUGAAAUGCGCAGAUAUCAGGAGGAACACCGGUGGCGAAGGCGCCGCUCUGGGCCGAUACUGACGCUGAGGAGCGAAAGCGUGGGUAGCAAACAGG